UCAUUGGUAGUUCAGUGGUAGAAUUCUGACUUUCCAUGUGGGAGACCAGGAUUGAAUUCCUGGCCAGUGGA
Molecule: transfer RNA, 71 nt
Filed under: Loxodonta africana (African savanna elephant)
Lineage: Eukaryota; Metazoa; Chordata; Mammalia; Proboscidea; Elephantidae
Rfam family: tRNA
About the family: Transfer RNA (tRNA) molecules are approximately 80 nucleotides in length.
Source: Rfam by way of RNAcentral